Chlorocebus sabaeus (green monkey) is the source of this 243-nucleotide non-coding RNA. The record is from RefSeq and is a predicted model, not a curated record. Lineage: Eukaryota; Metazoa; Chordata; Mammalia; Primates; Cercopithecidae.
GCGGUGAGAUCUACGGGGCAACUAAGGGGCUGUCUGCGGGGUCCGCGCUGAGCUUUCGGGGUCGCUUCUCCCGGAAGGCGCGCUCGUUCCUGUGGCGGUGCCUGCCUGCGUCGUCGCCCCUUCUUCAAACCUCAGGAUUUCUCCGUGUUUCCCAGACCGUAAGGUUCCAAAGGUGGAAACACAGAUGACAGAUUUUUGGUCUUUUCAUCGUUUCCUAUGUUUGGAAUAGUUCACCAGUGAAGU